This 253-nucleotide ribosomal RNA is filed under the name uncultured bacterium. RNAcentral describes it as "partial 16S ribosomal RNA". It matches the Rfam family "Bacterial small subunit ribosomal RNA", at positions 524 to 776 of the family's 1533-position model. The record is from RNAcentral.
UACGUAGGGGGCUAGCGUUGUCCGGAUUUAUUGGGCGUAAAGAGCGUGUAGGCGGCCAGAUAGGUCUGCUGUGAAAACUCGAGGCUCAACCUCGAGAUGUCGGCGGAAACCAUUUGGCUAGAGUCCGGAAGAGGAAAGUGGAAUUCCUGGUGUAGCGGUGAAAUGCGCAGAUAUCAGGAAGAACACCAAUGGCGAAGGCAGAUCUCUGGGCCGUAACUGACGCUGAGGAGCGAAAGCAUGGGGAGCGAACAGG